AUUGAACGCUGGCGGCAUGCCUUACACAUGCAAGUCGAACGGCAGCGCGGACUUCGGUCUGGCGGCGAGUGGCGAACGGGUGAGUAAUACAUCGGAACGUACCCUGUUGUGGGGGAUAACUAGUCGAAAGGUUAGCUAAUACCGCAUACGACCUGAGGGUGAAAGUGGGGGAUCGCAAGGCCUCACGCAGCAGGAGCGGCCGAUGUCUGAUUAGCUAGUUGGUGGGGUAAAGGCCCACCAAGGCGACGAUCAGUAGCUGGUCUGAGAGGACGAUCAGCCACACUGGGACUGAGACACGGCCCAGACUCCUACGGGAGGCAGCAGUGGGGAAUUUUGGACAAUGGGGGCAACCCUGAUCCAGCAAUGCCGCGUGUGUGAAGAAGGCCUUCGGGUUGUAAAGCACUUUUGUCCGGAAAGAAAUCGCGCUGGUUAAUACCUGGCGUGGAUGACGGUACCGGAAGAAUAAGCACCGGCUAACUACGUG
This 484-nucleotide ribosomal RNA is filed under the name uncultured bacterium. Its description in RNAcentral is "partial 16S ribosomal RNA". It matches the Rfam family "Bacterial small subunit ribosomal RNA", at positions 30 to 507 of the family's 1533-position model. The record is from RNAcentral.